AAUCCUUUCUUCCAAAACUGUAUCGCUUUAUGUGAUUCAGUCAUUUCAGGAAAGGUAGACUAAACGUGGCAUUACCAAACUAGCUUGAGUCUUCAAUACCUAACUAGUUUGAAAUUGUACACUACACAUUUU
RNAcentral lists this small nucleolar RNA (132 nucleotides) under Bombyx mori (domestic silkworm). RNAcentral describes it as "Bm_99". The record is from RNAcentral. Lineage: Eukaryota; Metazoa; Arthropoda; Insecta; Lepidoptera; Bombycidae.